Molecule: transfer RNA, 72 nt
Filed under: Loxodonta africana (African savanna elephant)
Lineage: Eukaryota; Metazoa; Chordata; Mammalia; Proboscidea; Elephantidae
Rfam family: tRNA
About the family: Transfer RNA (tRNA) molecules are approximately 80 nucleotides in length. Their secondary structure includes four short double-helical elements and three loops (D, anti-codon, and T loops). Further hydrogen bonds mediate the characteristic L-shaped molecular structure. tRNAs have two regions of fundamental functional importance: the anti-codon, which is responsible for specific mRNA codon recognition, and the 3' end, to which the tRNAs corresponding amino acid is attached (by aminoacyl-tRNA synthetases). tRNAs cope with the degeneracy of the genetic code in two manners: having more than one tRNA (with a specific anti-codon) for a particular amino acid; and 'wobble' base-pairing, i.e. permitting non-standard base-pairing at the 3rd anti-codon position.
Source: Rfam by way of RNAcentral
GCAUUGGUGAUUCAAUGGAAGAAUUCUCACCUUUUCAUGUGGGAGACCCUGGUUCAAUUCCCAGCCAAUGCA